This 585-nucleotide ribosomal RNA is filed under the name uncultured bacterium. Its description in RNAcentral is "partial 16S ribosomal RNA". It matches the Rfam family "Bacterial small subunit ribosomal RNA", at positions 355 to 1375 of the family's 1533-position model. The record is from RNAcentral.
UGGGGAAUUUUGGACAAUGGGCGAAAGCCUGAUCCAGCAAUGCCGCGUGUGUGAAGAAGGCCUUCGGGUUGUAAAGCACUUUUGUCCGGAAAGAAAUCCUUGGCUCUAAUACAGUCGGGGGAUGACGGUACCGGAAGAAUAAGCACCGGCUAACUACGUGCCAGCAGCCGCGGUAAUACGUAGGGUGCAAGCGUUAAUCGGAAUUACUGGGCGUAAAGCGUGCGCAGGCGGUUUGCUAAGACCGAUGUGAAAUCCCCGGGCUCAACCUGGGAACUGCAUUGGUGACUGGCAGGCUAGAGUAUGGCAGAGGGGGGUAGAAUUCCACGUGUAGCAGUGAAAUGCGUAGAGAUGUGGAGGAAUACCGAUGGCGAAGGCAGCCCCCUGGGCCAAUACUGACGCUCAUGCACGAAAAGCGUGGGGAGCAAACAGGAUUAGAUACCCUGGUAGUCCACGCCCUAAACGAUGUCAACUAGUUGUUGGGGAUUCAUUCCUUAGUAACGUAGCUAACGCGUGAAGUUGACCGCCUGGGGAGUACGGUCGCAAGAUUAAAACUCAAAGGAAUUGACGGGGUCAUAGCUGUUUCCU